GAGUUUGAUCUGGCUCAGGAUGAACGCUAGCGGCAGGCCUAAUACAUGCAAGCUGAACGGUAAAUAUUGUAGCAAUACGAUAUGAGAGUAGCGUAAGGGUGCGUAACACGUAUGCAAUCUGCCCUGUACAGGAGGAUAGCUCGGCGAAAGCCGGAUUAAUACUCCGUAAUAUUAUUGGGAGGCAUCUCUUGAUAAUUAAAGUCGCAAGACGGUAUGGGAUGAGCAUGCGUCUGAUUAGCUAGUUGGUGGUGUAACGGACCACCAAGGCGAUGAUCAGUAGGGGAACUGAGAGGUUGAUCCCCCACACUGGCACUGAGAUACGGGCCAGACUCCUACGGGAGCAGCAGUAGGGAAUAUUGGUCAAUGGAUGCAAGUCUGAACCAGCCAUGCCGCGUGCAGGAAGAAGGCCUUCUGGGUUGUAAACUGCUUUUGCCGGGGGAUAAAAAGUCCAUGCGUGGACAAUUGAAGGUA
Molecule: ribosomal RNA, 471 nt
Filed under: uncultured Bacteroidota bacterium
Lineage: Bacteria; Pseudomonadati; Bacteroidota
Description: bacterial SSU rRNA
Rfam family: Bacterial small subunit ribosomal RNA
Source: RNAcentral